Brienomyrus brachyistius is the source of this 524-nucleotide long non-coding RNA. RefSeq lists it as uncharacterized. The transcript is spliced from 3 exons. Lineage: Eukaryota; Metazoa; Chordata; Actinopteri; Osteoglossiformes; Mormyridae. The record is from RefSeq and is a predicted model, not a curated record.
GUGAGCACGAGCCCUGCAGCUCUGAAUCAGAAAGAAAUCCUUGGCCGUAUUUAAGAAAGUUAUUUGAGUUCAAAGGAGCAAAGAAUGAGUCCUUGCGUUUUCAGUGUAUCUCAUGCCUGCCUCAACCCAAAGAAUUGUUGCCGUUUAAAAACUCCCCUUCAAAUUUGAAGAAACAUAUACAGGUUCAGCCCAGCAGAACUUGCUUUCUUGACAGAAUAUGCAACAACCAUGAACUCAGUCUCCAAGGCACUCAACAUGUUGCAGGCAGAGGUGGAUGUCCACAUGGGAUGGCUGUUACCAACUAUAACCGUCUUGACUGUGAAGCUGGACCGCCUCCAAAAAUCAUCCAAGUUCUGCAAACCUCUGAUCUCUGCCCUUUAAGAAGGAAUACAGCGGUGGUUUGGUGACAUGCUUACUGUGGUGCCGACCGAAUAACAGGAACAGGGAUCCAGUUGUGUAGGCAUGGACUACAGCAAGAGUCACUUGGAGGAGGACCAAGCCUCAUCACCAGAUAGCCAUUCUGG